Molecule: ribosomal RNA, 376 nt
Filed under: uncultured bacterium
Lineage: Bacteria
Description: bacterial SSU rRNA
Rfam family: Bacterial small subunit ribosomal RNA
Source: RNAcentral
UACGAGGGGGGCGAGCGUUGUUCGGAAUUAUUGGGCGUAAAGGGUGCGUAGGCGGUUUGAUAAGUCUGAUGUGAAAUCUAUGGGCUCAACCCAUAGCCUGCAUUAGAAACUGUCGGGCUUGAGUAUGGGAGAGGUGAGUGGAAUUUCCGGUGUAGCGGUGAAAUGCGUAGAUAUCGGAAGGAACACCUGUGGCGAAAGCGGCUCACUGGACCAUUACUGACGCUGAUGCACGAAAGCUAGGGGAGCAAACAGGAUUAGAUACCCUGGUAGUCCUAGCCCUAAACGAUGAUUGCUUGAUGUGGAGGGUACCCAAUCCUUCCGUGUCGUAGCUAACGCGAUAAGCAAUCCGCCUGGGGAGUACGGUCGCAAGGCUGAA